Molecule: ribosomal RNA, 443 nt
Filed under: uncultured bacterium
Lineage: Bacteria
Description: partial 16S ribosomal RNA
Rfam family: Bacterial small subunit ribosomal RNA
Source: RNAcentral
CCUACGGGUGGCAGCAGUGGGGAAUAUUGGUCAAUGGGCGCAAGCCUGACCCAGCAACGCCGCGUGAAGGAUGAAGGCUUUCGGGUUGUAAACUUCUUUUUUCAGGGACGAAGCAAGUGACGGUACCUGACGAAUAAGCCACGGCUAACUACGUGCCAGCAGCCGCGGUAAGACGGAGGGGGCAAGCGUUAUCCGGAUUUAUUGGGUGUAAAGGGCGUGUAGGCGGGAGUGCAAGUCAGAUGUGAAAACUAUGGGCUCAACCCAUAGCCUGCAUUUGAAACUGGAUGUCUUGAGUGCUGGAGAGGUAAGCGGAAUUCGGGGUGUAGCGGUGAAAUGCGUAGAUAUCAGGAGGAACACCAAUGGCGAAGGCAGAUUGCUGGACUGUAACUGACGCUGAGGCGCGAAAGCGUGGGGAGCAAACAGGAUUAGAUACCCUAGUAGUC